GACGAACGCUGGCGGCGUGCCUAAUACAUGCAAGUAGAACGCUGAAGAGAGGAGCUUGCUCUUCUUGGAUGAGUUGCGAACGGGUGAGUAACGCGUAGGUAACCUGCCUUGUAGCGGGGGAUAACUAUUGGAAACGAUAGCUAAUACCGCAUAACAAUGGAUGACACAUGUCAUUUAUUUGAAAGGGGCAAUUGCUCCACUACAAGAUGGACCUGCGUUGUAUUAGCUAGUAGGUGAGGUAACGGCUCACCUAGGCGACGAUACAUAGCCGACCUGAGAGGGUGAUCGGCCACACUGGGACUGAGACACGGCCCAGACUCCUACGGGAGGCAGCAGUAGGGAAUCUUCGGCAAUGGGGGCAACCCUGACCGAGCAACGCCGCGUGAGUGAAGAAGGUUUUCGGAUCGUAAAGCUCUGUUGUAAGUCAAGAACGAGUGUGAGAGUGGAAAGUUCACACUGUGACGGUAGCUUACCAGAAAGGGACGGCUAACUACGUGCCAGCAGCCGCGGUAAUACGUAGGUCCCGAGCGUUGUCCGGAUUUAUUGGGCGUAAAGCGAGCGCAGGCGGUUUGAUAAGUCUGAAGUUAAAGGCUGUGGCUCAACCAUAGUUCGCUUUGGAAACUGUCAAACUUGAGUGCAGAAGGGGAGAGUGGAAUUCCAUGUGUAGCGGUGAAAUGCGUAGAUAUAUGGAGGAACACCGGUGGCGAAAGCGGCUCUCUGGUCUGUAACUGACGCUGAAGCUCGAAAGCGUGGGGAGCGAACAGGAUUAGAUACCCUGGUAGUCCACGCCGUAAACGAUGAGUGCUAGGUGUUGGAUCCUUUCCGGGAUUCAGUGCCGCAGCUAACGCAUUAAGCACUCCGGCUGGGGAGUACGACCGCAAGGUUGAAACUCAAAGGAAUUGACGGGGGCCCGCACAAGCGGUGGAGCAUGUGGUUUAAUUCGAAGCAACGCGAAGAACCUUACCAGGUCUUGACAUCCCGAUGCUAUUUCUAGAGAUAGAAAGUUACUUCGGUACAUCGGUGACAGGUGGUGCAUGGUUGUCGUCAGCUCGUGUCGUGAGAUGUUGGGUUAAGUCCCGCAACGAGCGCAACCCCUAUUGUUAGUUGCCAUCAUUCAGUUGGGCACUCUAGCGAGACUGCCGGUAAUAAACCGGAGGAAGGUGGGGAUGACGUCAAAUCAUCAUGCCCCUUAUGACCUGGGCUACACACGUGCUACAAUGGUUGGUACAACGAGUUGCGAGUCGGUGACGGCAAGCUAAUCUCUUAAAGCCAAUCUCAGUUCGGAUUGUAGGCUGCAACUCGCCUACAUGAAGUCGGAAUCGCUAGUAAUCGCGGAUCAGCACGCCGCGGUGAAUACGUUCCCGGGCCU
Molecule: ribosomal RNA, 1369 nt
Filed under: uncultured bacterium
Lineage: Bacteria
Description: bacterial SSU rRNA
Rfam family: Bacterial small subunit ribosomal RNA
Source: RNAcentral